Molecule: ribosomal RNA, 467 nt
Filed under: uncultured bacterium
Lineage: Bacteria
Description: partial 16S ribosomal RNA
Rfam family: Bacterial small subunit ribosomal RNA
Source: RNAcentral
GACGAACGCUGGCGGCGUGCUUAACACAUGCAAGUCGAACGGAAAGGCACUGCUUUUGUGGGGUGCUCGAGUGGCGAACGGGUGCGUAACACGUGAGUAACCUGCCCUUGACUUUGGGAUAACUUCAGGAAACUGGGGCUAUACCGGAACGGAGCUCCUGCUGCAUGGUGGGGGUUGGAAAGUUUCGGCGGUUGGGGAUGGACUCGCGGCUUAUCGGCUUGUUGGUGGGGUAGUGGCUUACCAAGGCUUUGACGGGUAGCCGGCCUGAGAGGGUGACCGGCCACAUUGGGACUGCGAUACGGCGCAGUCUCCUACGGGGGGCAGCAGUGGGGAAUAUUGCACAAUGGGCGGAAGCCUGAGGCAGCAACGCCGCGUGCGGGAUGACGGCCUUCGGGUUAUAAACCGCUUUCGCCUGUGACGAAGCGUGAGUGACGGUAAUGGGUAAAGAAGCACCGGCUAACUACGUG